Molecule: RNA transcript, 3098 nt
Organism: Nymphaea colorata (pocket water lily)
Lineage: Eukaryota; Viridiplantae; Streptophyta; Magnoliopsida; Nymphaeales; Nymphaeaceae
Gene name: U-box domain-containing protein 35-like
Exons: 11
Source: RefSeq, a predicted model, not a curated record
AGAGAGAGAGAGAGAACGGAGAGACAGGAGAGAGAAAGAGGGAGGAGACCACCUUUCUUUCUUAGACAAAAAGAAAGAAGAGAAAGAAAAGAGGAGAAGAUCAAAUAUUGAAGGGAGAAACAAGAGAUUGAAGAGGGAGGGAGGGAUUGUGUGCUAGAGAGAAAGAGGCGUAGAGUAGAGGGGGUGUUUGUGAAUGCACCCCCAGUGAAAACUCUGCGACUCAUUCCUAGGGAGAUAUAUCUAAAGAGCAAGCAAAAGAACGAACGUUGGGCUGCAGCUCGCUGCUGCGACAUUCUAAGAGCGAUUCAGGGAAGAGAUGAGCCAACCAAGGAAGGGAGAUGGUGGGUCGGUGGCCGUGGCCGUGGACAGGGACAAGGGGAGCCAAUAUGCGGUAAGGUGGGCGGUGGAGCACCUGCUCACCAAGGGCCAGACCCUCAACGUCGUUCAUGUCAAGCCUAAGUCUCAGACAGGCUCCAACCCAAAUGGUAGUGAAGAUUCUGCACAGAUGGAAGAGCAAAUAAAGGAAUUGAUCCUUCCAUUUCGAUGCUAUUGUACUCGCAAAGACAUCAACUGUAAAGAUGUCAUCUUAGAGGACAAUGACGUGACUAAAGCUAUCAUCGAAUAUGUCUCUCAGGCGACAAUUGAAAAUCUUGUAGUUGGUGCAUCCUCCAGAAGUUCAUUCCUCAGAUUUAAGAGCCAGGACAUUGCUUCUAGCAUAUCCAAAGGCGCACCAGAAUAUUGCACGGUGUAUACUAUUUCCAAAGGCAAGAUAACUUCAGUCAGAUCAGCUACUCGUGCAGCACCUGUGACGAUGAUGUCGUCCCGCCCACCCACCAAUAUCCAACCAAGUACUAGGGUGGAGCCUGUGGAACCAAGCUUCCAACCUAGCUUAAAAGCUGAGAGUGAUGGCAUGGACACAAUCAAGUCUCCAUUUAACAGACCAGGAAGAGGAUCAGGUGCCCGGAAUAGCAUCGAGCUGAAUAUGCAUGAAACUGACAUAUCCUUUGUUAACCCCAGUAGUCGGCAGAACAUAGAAAGACCAUUUCCCUCGCGUGAUUAUAGUGAAUCAGGAAGACCUCCAAGGCUCUCAUUUGGGCAAAGUAUGGAUGAGGAUAUUUUAGCCUCUGGCAACAACAGAAGCUUUCAGUCACCACUUCACUAUACACAGAAGUCCAUGGACCUUCAUUCCAACGAGAUGGAGCAUUCCUCUACUUCCUUUGGCAGUGGUGGAUCAUGGUCAUCACAGACAGGGGAGGACCUCGAAGCUGAAAUGAGGAGAUUGAAGCUUGAGUUGAAGCAAACAAUGGAUAUGUACAGCAAUGCAUGUAAAGAAGCCCUUUCUGCGAAACAAAAGGCGAUUGAGCUGCAUCGUUGGAAAGUAGAGGAAGAACAAAGGCUGGAAGAAGCGAGGCUAGCUGAGGAGGCAGCACUGGCCUUAGCAGAGAAGGAGAAGCAAAAAUGUAAAGCAGCUAUGGAGGCAGCAGAGGCAGCCCAAAGAAUAGCAGAGAUUGAAGCACAAAAGAGAAUAAGUGCAGAGAUGAAGGCACUCAAGGAAGCAGAAGAAAAGAAGAAGGCAUUGGACGCAUUAGCACAGAAUGAUGUUAGAUACAGAAAGUAUACAAUUCAAGAGAUUGAAAUUGCUACGGACUUCUUUUCAGAGAAGAGAAAGAUAGGUGAGGGUGGAUAUGGACCUGUAUAUAGUUCCUACCUGGACCAUACGCCAGUUGCAAUCAAGGUCUUGAGGCCUGAUGCAGCGCAAGGGCGGAUGCAGUUUCAACAAGAGGUUGAAGUUCUGAGCUGUAUAAGGCAUCCCAACAUGGUGUUGCUCCUUGGUGCCUGCCCAGAGUAUGGUUGCCUUGUUUAUGAGUACAUGGCCAAUGGCAGCUUGGAUGACUGUCUUUUCAGGCGAGGAAACACUCCUCUUUCAUGGCAGCUUCGGUUCCGGAUUGCAGCAGAGAUUGCAACCGGUCUACUUUUCCUCCAUCAGACCAAACCAGAGCCUCUGGUCCAUCGGGAUCUUAAGCCAGCAAACAUCUUGCUUGACAGAAACUUUGUUGCCAAGAUCAGUGAUGUUGGACUUGCUAGACUUGUCCCUCCCAAUGUAGUUAACGACGUGACUCAGUAUAGGAUGACAUCCACAGCUGGUACUUUCUGUUACAUAGAUCCUGAAUAUCAGCAGACCGGGAUGCUUGGCAUCAAGUCAGAUAUAUAUUCCCUUGGCAUCAUGCUGCUUCAGAUCAUCACAGCAAAACCACCAAUGGGUCUAACACAUCACGUUGAACGAGCCAUAGACAAAGGCACAUUGAAAGAGUUUCUGGAUCCAGCUGUUACAGAUUGGCCUAUGCAAGAAACUAUGUUAUUUGCUAAGUUGGCCCUAAAAUGUGCAGAACUGAGGAGGAAAGAUAGACCUGAUCUUGGCACUGAGGUCUUACCACAGCUUGAAAAGCUAAGGGUCUUAGGAGAAGAAAACAUGUCAUUACCUUAUAUGUUGGGUGGGAGUACAAAUGCUUCUCCGAACCACAGCCUUGCUAUGAUGCGCCAGGAAGUGAUCAGUGAAUCUAUUUCAUCUGGGUUUACAAACGAGUCAUCCAUAAAGAGCCUUUCAAGCACGUCAACGUCCAUGAUAGGGAGGAGAGCUUUAUAGAGGAGGGAAGACCUGCUGCUUUUGCCAGUAUUUGAAGAGGUAACCCAAUGCUCUGGAGGGGGCCAUUAAAGCUUUAUAAAGCUGUCAAAACAUCUUGCAGGUAUAAAACAAAAGCAAGGUACUCCAGGAAUUUCGUUUUCACACUGAUGGGACGACCUGCGAGAAGAAGACAUGGAAAACAACAAACCUGUGCAGCCAUUUCUCGCCAUUAACCAAAACACCUGCCCGUUAGCUGAUCAGCUGGUGAAGUCCAUCAUAGCCAAGCCGAGCUAGAUGCAACCCAGUUUUGGUCAUGUCUAAAAUGCGUUCUUUUUAUGUUUUUCCCGCUGGACCUGCUGCGUAUUGUCAGCUUGAAGUAGAUUCAAAUGUUCAUGUAUUUCCCUUGUGUUGUACAUCUUCUUGAAUGGUUCAUGUAACAUUAAUUAUGUGUACUGCUCUAAUAAAAAUGGUACUU